Molecule: small RNA, 108 nt
Filed under: Actinomycetota bacterium
Lineage: Bacteria; Bacillati; Actinomycetota
Description: Actinobacteria bacterium Guanidine-I sequence
Rfam family: Guanidine-I riboswitch aptamer
About the family: This family represents a conserved RNA structure found upstream of the ykkC and yxkD genes in Bacillus subtilis and related genes in other bacteria. The function of this family is unclear although it has been suggested that it may function to switch on efflux pumps and detoxification systems in response to harmful environmental molecules. Nelson showed that this riboswitch senses and responds to guanidine and it was renamed Guanidine-I riboswitch.
Source: RNAcentral
GUGAGGCGCGCCUAGGGUUCCGCCGCCGUAGCGGGUCUGGUCCGAGAGGCGCAGGCGGUCCGGCGCACGCGUCGGGGCGUUCCACGGCGGGACAAAAGCCCGGGAGAC